CCUACGGGAGGCAGCAGUGGGGAAUAUUGGGCAAUGGAGGCAACUCUGACCCAGCAACGCCGCGUGAAUGAUGAAGGUCUUCGGAUUGUAAAGUUCUUUUCGAAGGGAAGAAGAAAGUGACGGUACCUUAUGUAUAAGCCUCGGCUAACUACGUGCCAGCAGCCGCGCUACUACGUCGGAGGCAAGCGUUAUCCGGAAUGACUGGGCGUAAAGGGUGCGUAGGUUGGUUGACAAGUUAGUAGCGUAAUUCCGGGGCUCAACUUCGGAACUACUACCGAGACUGUUGGGCUAGAGUGGAGGAGAGGAAAGUGGAAUGUCUGGUGUAGCGGUGGAAUGCGUAGAUAUUAGGAAGAACACCGGUGGCGAAGGCGAGUUGCUGGACUGUAACUGACACUGAGGCACGAAAGCGUGGGGAGCAAACAGGAUUAGAUACCCGAGUAGUA
This 443-nucleotide ribosomal RNA is filed under the name uncultured bacterium. RNAcentral's name for it is "partial 16S ribosomal RNA". It matches the Rfam family "Bacterial small subunit ribosomal RNA", at positions 338 to 795 of the family's 1533-position model. The record is from RNAcentral.